UUGAAUUUUUAUCUUUCAUAUAGCGAUUUAGUGAAUUGUUUUUUUUUUCUUUUUCCUAAUGAAUGGGAGGCUGAAUUUUUAUUUUUUGUUAUCACAUACAUAUGUGUUGUGUGCACAAACUGUUUUGAUUUCAGCUUCCUGCAGGAUAUUUCUUGGUUUAAAGAGCUUUUGACAUUUCCCCACUCUCUUCAUCUGAAGCAUUGAACAGAUUUUUGGUUUGUGUAAAGGUCAUAUCAUAAUUAUUGUUUGGAUCUUGGUGGGAAAUCUGAUACCUGUUGGCUAUAUACAGUAUGUUUCAGACCACCCUAGUGAUUUGAACUCUGAAUCAACACUUUUAUGUGGCAUCUAAUUUUCUGAAUGUGCUGGAAUUGGUUGCUGGCUAUGAUGAUUGGAUAACAAUUUGAUCAUGGAGAUGAAAUUUGUGGAGUAGUUGUCAAUGUCAGAACUAGGCAGGAAAAAAAAAUCUCUAUGGACGAAGAAUGCUACAAAUAAUGCUGCACAGGCAAUUGGCAUGUUUUGUUCACAUGAUGAUGCAAAGAAACUCAACAGACCUGCUAAGAAUCGCUACAACACAAGAUCUGCUUAGUGCGUGUUUUUAGGAUGAUGCCUAGAAGAUGCAAGAUGUUUUCUGGAUGCAGAAGCCUUAUCCUAGUUGCUAUCAAAACCCGGAGCAAUAAGAACAAAAGCUUUACCCAGAGCAACAACUGUUGGCAAUUCAAAAAGGCUUAUUCCUGGAUUCUAGACUCAGUUUUGGCUAUCUCAGGCUAUUCUGCAUUUUGCUAGAGAAUUUACAACGCAAAAUUUUACUAUUUUAAGGAU
Quercus lobata is the source of this 819-nucleotide long non-coding RNA. RefSeq lists it as uncharacterized. The transcript has 3 exons. NCBI's taxonomy places the organism in Eukaryota, Viridiplantae, Streptophyta, Magnoliopsida, Fagales, Fagaceae. The record is from RefSeq and is a predicted model, not a curated record.